RNAcentral lists this ribosomal RNA (465 nucleotides) under Vreelandella stevensii. Its description in RNAcentral is "partial 16S ribosomal RNA". It matches the Rfam family "Bacterial small subunit ribosomal RNA", at positions 338 to 795 of the family's 1533-position model. The record is from RNAcentral. Lineage: Bacteria; Pseudomonadati; Pseudomonadota; Gammaproteobacteria; Oceanospirillales; Halomonadaceae.
CCUAUGGGGGGCAGCAGUGGGGAAUAUUGGACAAUGGGGGGAACCCUGAUCCAGCCAUGCCGCGUGUGUGAAGAAGGCCCUCGGGUUGUAAAGCACUUUCAGUGAGGAAGAACGCCUGGUGGUUAAUACCCAUCAGGAAAGACAUCACUCACAGAAGAAGCACCGUCUAACUCCGUGCCAGCAGCCGCGGUAAUACGGAGGGUGCGAGCGUUAAUCGGAAUUACUGGGCGUAAAGCGCGCGUAGGUGGCUUGAUAAGCCGGUUGUGAAAGCCCCGGGCUCAACCUGGGAACGGCAUCCGGAACUGUCAAGCUAGAGUGCAGGAGAGGAAGGUAGAAUUCCCGGUGUAGCGGUGAAAUGCGUAGAGAUCGGGAAGAAUACCAGUGGCGAAGGCGGCCUUCUGGACUGACACUGACACUGAGGUGCGAAAGCGUGGGUAGCAAACAGGAUUAGAUACCCUGGUAGUC